UCCCAGGCGUAAUCGCCGCUUUCGCCAGCCAUCAUGGUCAUCCCCUUUCACUGAGGAAUGGUACCGAUUACUUUUGCUCCAUUGUCAGAGGUUUUGCAACUGCGACCACAAAAGCUUUCCUCCCGAAGAAGAAGCCACCACCGAGCGGAAGCAUAACGAACUCCGUGGUCCGCAUUCCGACUACCAUGUAAGUCCACUUGAGGGGCUUCGCGAGCAUCGGUGGUGGUUCUUAGAUAAACCAGCGUUAUUUGUAAUCGACUGUGGAGCUUCCUAAUUUGGAAUUAGCAACUCGAGUGCUGGCAUCCGACCGUUGCUGUCUGCAUCCUACCGUUGGACAGACGACGCUCUCCUCAACAUCUCCAACACCUACCUCGACGAUUUCGACGUCGAGAUUCUCGUUCUGAUGAUUCGCCCCCUGUCGCUACUAUCCUGUAUCGAUUUUCGUGCCAUUCUGUGUCGGAGAUACGUUGUGAACAGGUUUUCGCUUCGUUUACAUUGGAAUAGCGGAGAGGUUGGACGGUCAGGUAGAGGCGUUAUUUGUAAAUUGGUUGGCUUUGGUGUGCGGACGCCUUCUGAGAUCUGCAUUUCUAGGCUUGGUGGUUCGCUCUUGCGUGCUUCCCUUUGCCUCUGGUAAUUAAAUCAAAAGACGCACGCUUCAAUCGCAUUUUGUUUAGAGGUUGCACACGUAGUGUUGCUGUUUCGUAGAGUGAAGCGUUCAAUGAGCGUGGAUUGAAACGGUGAUGUUGUCCAUGAGAGCACCCAUGCAGCUCCACGAUAUUGGCGGAGCAUCGAAAAAAUCUGUAUGAAGAUUUGAGUACGUACUUUGUGGGAAGUGGAAUUUAGAUUGUCUUGAGGUACAGGAAUUUUUAAUAUGAAGUACUUACUUCAAGGCAGUCCCAAAUCAGCUUGCUUGUCGAUGGAGGAGAGGAGUUGCCAUUUUUUGCAUCGAACGGGGGGAGAAUACUAGAGCGAGUUGAGAAUCCCUCUGCUUGCGGGAAUUCAGAUCGCCAUUAUCCUUGCGAACCUCUGGUCCAUACUCUCUCAGAACUUAGUCGGGAAAGAGAAUGGGCAGGUACGAUGAAGACACUGUAAUGAGCAUGUCGGCAGAGUUAGACAAUGUUAUGCUGGAAAUUGUCUGUCAUAUGAUGGAACCGUGUCCCUGUGAGGAUUUUUGGAAGGCCAAGUUUGAGGAAGCAGUGGAUUCUCAACGGCAACUCCAGGAGCAUGUCCACGUGCUUCUCCGCCGUCUUGAGGAGGCAGAUUUUAGAUGUUUGAAGGCCAGGGAGGAGGCAGCUCUUAAUUCGCAAGCGUUGAAAAAGCAAGUGGCUGAGACACAGAGACUUGCGGCUGAAUGUAAGUCGUUGACCCUGGAUUGCGAGUCACUGACUCAAGAAUGUUCGCGCUUAGAAAAUGAAUGUCAUCUGUACCAUAAUGAUCGGGAAGUGUUCAUGGAAGCUGCCGACGAGGCCGAGGAACGGGCAGCUCAAGCUGAGGAAAGUGCUGAUGUGGCUAAUCGAAGGGUAGAAGAAUUACUGCAAGAACUCGAAAGUUGCAGAGAUUACACAUCAGCCGUAUUUCCUUCAUCAACACAGAAUGUUAUAAUGCAGAAUGUACCUGCCUUGAGAAAAAGGGUUACAGAGUUGGAAAUUCAAUUCCACAAGCUUCAAGACGAGGCAGUUCGGUCCUGUCUUGAUGUUGAUACUAAAGAAGGCCAUGAUCUACUGAAGGAGCAAAACUCACACCUAUCCGAAGUUAUUCAGUGGUACGAAGUAACUAAAGCAGAGCUCAAAAGAUUACAAGGAGCUUUUUCGACAAUGGAAAAGGCCAGGGACGAGAUGAUUGUGUCCAACAUGGUGUCAUCUGCCAUCUCGGCCGGAGUGGUCAAGGCACUAGAGCAAGACAGAGACGAAGCCGUUUCAUCCCUCAACCUACAAUUCAAGGCCAUCUUGAAACGCAUGCAAGGAGAAUUCCGUUCUAGUCGUGAGAGGCUUUUGAAGAAAUGGACUGAAGGCGAGGGGGGUCGUGAUAGGAUGAAGGCGGCCGAGAAAGGUUUGAGGUCAUUGCUCAUGGAGGUAGACGCCUUGAGGCAAGAAAUCGUAAUCUACAAGGGCAAUCUUGAGAAAGCUCAGGACAAGAUCCACAUGUUAGCAGAAGAAAACGAGGCGCUUCGAUUGCUACUGAAGGUCAAAUGCAAUUCGUGUCUGGAAUACAGAGGAGUAAGAGUGAGUUCAUAAUAGAUGGAAAGCUUCGGGAUCUACUUACAAGGGACGUUUACGACAAUCCAGCAUUAGUCGCUGCAGGAGCUGCGCCGAGCAAAUUUAAUCCGCCUCGCCUUUCUUCUGGUACGCAUGGGUUUCGUCCAGAAGACAUCGAUUGCGAGGCGACUAUUGAGCUAGCAUCACGUUGUUGCAUUAUGUAAGAAUACUACGUACUUGUCCUGCCCAGAUGCCAAGUUCAUUGUCCUAGUUUUGUUCGAUGAAGGAGUCUGUAUGCGAGGAUUAGCUUUUCCCUGGCGAGCAUUGCCCGUGCCACUAUUAUAUAAUGACCCUGCGAAGCACAGGCCGCCAGGGGAAGUUUUAUCUGUAACAUGUCACUUUCUUCUACAUGUAGCGUAGAUAUGUUCCUAUCCCUGCCACAGAACCUUAGGGUGAUUGUGUAACUACCUCCGCUACACUGCACUCUACCGCAUGUUCUAAUAGAAGAACGUGUGUACUUGACCAAAUGUACUCGAUCACGACAAUAAAAAUGUCUUAAAUAAACAGCGCUACUCCAAUUUCUA
Physcomitrium patens is the source of this 2779-nucleotide RNA transcript. RefSeq lists it as uncharacterized. Lineage: Eukaryota; Viridiplantae; Streptophyta; Bryopsida; Funariales; Funariaceae. The record is from RefSeq and is a predicted model, not a curated record.